RNAcentral lists this long non-coding RNA (483 nucleotides) under Zostera marina. RNAcentral's name for it is "long non-coding RNA (ZMAR_LNC005469)". The record is from RNAcentral. Lineage: Eukaryota; Viridiplantae; Streptophyta; Magnoliopsida; Alismatales; Zosteraceae.
GUCUAUGUUGAGCUCAUGGCACGUUAUAGUACGUUGUACCUGUGAGGGUGCCUCCCCUUCCCAUACGAACGUGUGCACAUGGGUUUCUAAUAGCUGCAGUAGUGACUUUUUUACCUCGGAGGAUAAAGAUGUCCCCAUCAGGACUCCUCCUUUUGAGAGUUUGACUUCCUCAACUUGAUUGGAUGAGGUUGUGUCUUCUUCCUCCUCUCUUUCUUGGAUGUACAUGGUUACAGGUUUGGCUAUUUUAGUUGCCUUCCUGUACGAAUUUCUGGAGUCUUUCUGUGCUCCAAAAACUGUUGCCAUUCUGCCAUCUUUUCCUGGGUACCUGAAGCAUUGAUGAUAAGAUGAUGGUAUCGCUUUGAAACCGUGAAUGCUUGGUCUGCCCAAGAUCCCAUUGAACGGAGAGUCUAUAUUGACCACAAUGAAGUGUGCUGUACGCGAUACUCUCCCGUUUCUUUUUCCCAGGGAUAUCUGUAGAUCGAU